AUUGAACGCUGGCGGCAUGCUUUACACAUGCAAGUCGAACGGCAGCGCGGGCUUCGGCCUGGCGGCGAGUGGCGAACGGGUGAGUAAUGCAUCGGAACGUGCCCAGUAGUGGGGGAUAGCCCGGCGAAAGCCGGAUUAAUACCGCAUACGACCUGAGGGUGAAAGCGGGGGACCGAAAGGCCUUGCGCUAUUGGAGCGGCCGAUGUCGGAUUAGCUAGUUGGUGGGGUAAAGGCUUACCAAGGCGACGAUCCGUAGCUGGUCUGAGAGGACGACCAGCCACACUGGGACUGAGACACGGCCCAGACUCCUGCGGGAGGCAGCAGUGGGGAAUUUUGGACAAUGGGGGCAACCCUGAUCCAGCCAUGCCGCGUGCGGGAAGAAGGCCUUCGGGUUGUAAACCGCUUUUGUUCGGGAAGAAAUCCUCUGGGCUAAUACCCCGGGGGGAUGACGGUACCGGAAGAAUAAGCACCGGCUAACUACGUG
Molecule: ribosomal RNA, 484 nt
Filed under: uncultured bacterium
Lineage: Bacteria
Description: partial 16S ribosomal RNA
Rfam family: Bacterial small subunit ribosomal RNA
Source: RNAcentral